AAUCAUGAUUAUUUUACUCAUGGCUUCCUAACCUCCCUCUGCAUGUGGCCAUGCUGCUCGCCCAAGCAAAGCCCAGCUCAUCAUCUAUCUCCAUCACCAUCAUAACUUCGCCACCACCACCAUCAUAACUUCGCCACCACUACCAUCAUUGCACCCCACCUGUUUGCGGAUUUAUCCCAAUGGAACUGUCUCUGAAACCCCAGCAAUUCGUCUUGUGUUCCCAAACGGC
RNAcentral lists this long non-coding RNA (229 nucleotides) under Malus domestica (apple). Its description in RNAcentral is "long non-coding RNA (MDOM_LNC007172)". The record is from RNAcentral. Lineage: Eukaryota; Viridiplantae; Streptophyta; Magnoliopsida; Rosales; Rosaceae.